AUUGAACGCUGGCGGCAGGCCUAACACAUGCAAGUCGAACGGUAACAGGAAGCAGCUUGCUGCUUUGCUGACGAGUGGCGGACGGGUGAGUAAUGUCUGGGAAACUGCCUGAUGGAGGGGGAUAACUACUGGAAACGGUAGCUAAUACCGCAUAACGUCGUAAGACCAAAGAGGGGGACCUUCGGGCCUCUUGCCAUCGGAUGUGCCCAGAUGGGAUUAGCUAGUAGGUGGGGUAACGGCUCACCUAGGCGACGAUCCCUAGCUGGUCUGAGAGGAUGACCAGCCACACUGGAACUGAGACACGGUCCAGACUCCUACGGGAGGCAGCAGUGGGGAAUAUUGCACAAUGGGCGCAAGCCUGAUGCAGCCAUGCCGCGUGUAUGAAGAAGGCCUUCGGGUUGUAAAGUACUUUCAGCGGGGAGGAAGGGAGUAAAGUUAAUACCUUUGCUCAUUGACGUUACCCGCAGAAGAAGCACCGGCUAACUCCGUG
RNAcentral lists this ribosomal RNA (490 nucleotides) under uncultured bacterium. Its description in RNAcentral is "partial 16S ribosomal RNA". It matches the Rfam family "Bacterial small subunit ribosomal RNA", at positions 30 to 507 of the family's 1533-position model. The record is from RNAcentral.